GUGAGGAAUACAAACCUUAGAGACAAUAUGUCACUUGGUUUUGCGUCUCCAACGGUUAUCGUCACGUUCGAAAUAGUUUCAGCAUUACCCCUUGUCGACCGUUGGAUGAAACAAAUCCAACGGCCAAAAUAGAUGACCGUUUAACGAGAUCUUUAUCUCAUUUGGAACCCAAAAAGUCUGCGGGCUCAGAGGGAGAGUGAGAGAGAGAGAGAGGAGAGCCUCUCUUCUCACUGUGGUGAGCUUCCAAUUUUGGAUCCCACUUGAGAGUCUUAGAGUUGUUGUUUUUGUGCAAAAUCGGGAAGAGGAGAUGGCAGCAGCCACAAUUGAUUUUCCCAAACCAGAGUGUUAUAGGGGAUUGCCAAAGUAAUUUAUUAGUACAUGAGUACUCUGUUGCUAGUGUUUUCCUGCAAAGAAGAUGGCAAUAUGGAUGCCUCAUUGAGGUCCUCAUCUUUCAAAUCUCAUUGGACCAACCCAUUAUGCCUUGGCUUUUGGAGGAUGUCUCGAAUGGUGGAUUAACAUUGGAGGCAAGGAGUUAAGAGGGAGAGGAUGACUGACAUUGGCAGUAUUGGGCAAAAGCGACCCCAUUCAAAGAAAGAUAAAAAAACAAACAAAAGAGAGCAAUGAAGCAUCAAGAGUUGUAUGAAGUCUGAAUAUAUUUUGUUAAAAUAAGAUGAUGAUGAAGUUGCAUCUGGUUGUAGGAGUUAUAAGAGAGACAGAGGAUGACUGACAUUGGCAGUACUGGGCAAAAGUGACCCCAUUAGAAGGGGCUUGCAUUUGGUUGCAUUUUUCACCUAGUACCCUGUGGUUGUUGUGGAAGGAAAAGUAAUUGUACAUGCUACAAUUAAAAAUCGAUAAAAAAGGAAGAAAGGAACAAUGUUUUUAAGCACAUUGCCAAACAGUUUUACCAAACCUGUGUUCAACUCAAUAUCAUUUGUGUUGAUAACUUGAAGUUUAUAAUAGGCAAUUGGACAGUUUUGUCACAGUGGUCUUACAUCUAAGAAGCUUAGGGAUCCCUUAUUGAGAGACAUAGUGAAGGACAUUAAAAAGAUUUUGAAUUCCCAUAGUGGUGUGGAACAAGUAUGGCAUCACAAUUAUGCAUGAUGAUUUGCUUCGAUAGAAGGACGAGCUCAAUUAUUAAUUAUUUGGGCAGCAAUUAGAAUUUUUCUUGAAAUUUGUUUAUAUAUCGGACCAUUCACAUGAUGCAAAUUACUUAUUCAACUUGUUGGAUUAGAUUGUUGAUGAAGUUGGGGAAGAGUAUGUGGUACAAAUUUUUAAAGACAAUGCUGCCAAUUGUAUACUCUAUUGGCAUCUGUUGGCAUUGUUGAGAACAUAGUUGUUGGAGACGGUAGCGGGAUCAGUUCGGGAUUCGUCGAACCACCCUAUAGUGGAAGCUCCCUGGGGUUAGGAUCGGCGUCUGUGCAAUGAUCAAGACAAGUAACAAGAUCCUUGGGUUUGUGGGAGUGUGAUCCCAUGUCAAUGGGUUCGAUGUUUUGACUAGCAGGAAUCUAAGCUCCACUAUACAUAAAAAUGUGUUUGUCUAGUAGUAUGAGUUUCCUUGGUUAAAGAAUCGUGGUUUAAGUAUGUCAUACAACAAGGUUCCUCUUGUUCUGAUAUCGAGAUUCUCAACUAUGUUUGGCAUAUGUUUUAAGUCUUAAGUAUCACUCUCGGGAUGUGAGUACUCUCUAGGAGAGGGCCAACCACAUGAAGAUCUUGAUUUUGGGAGGGGGGGCAAAGGACGCCCAGGCCUAAGCGGCGACAGCAGUAGGAGCUAGAGGGAAGGUUGGGGGAAGAGAUAAACUACGAAAGAAUGAGGAAAACUGAGAAGGUCCCCAUUGGUGACGGAGACCAAAUAAUAUGAUCAUGACCUGAGGGGGGUAGGAAACAAGCUUGAAGUUCUACCGCUAAGGUGGCAAAAUUUUCAAUUUCUAUUUCCGUAAUAGCCCUUCUGAAAGUGGGACUUCACGAAUAGAUAGGUCCAGCCGAGAGCAUUUCUUGAGCUACUGUAGCCCCUUGAUCUCUAGCUAGAGAGAAGAGAUCAGGGAAUUUGUCUCUGAAAGGAGUGUGACCUAGCCAAAGGUCAUGCCAGAAGAGGAUGCGAUUUCCCACCCUCGGAUGAAAUCUGAUGUGGAAUUUGAAGGUAUUGAAUGUUGAGCAGAUUGACCUCCAAGUACCGAAGGACCUCUGGUUGGACUUGCAAUUCUGUGGCCAAGGAGAGGUCGGGAGACGACAUUUUUGUUUAAGUAUGUCAAUCCACUGCUGGUUACUUAAUGUCGACAUUGGCCAACUCCAUUCACCUAGCAGCGCCAAAUUUUUGAGUUCUGAGGUUCUUAAUUCCUAGACCUCCCCUUUUUUUGGUCUGGUAAAGUUUGUCCCAAGCAAUCAAAUGGAAUUUGUUACUUGAAUCAUCUCUUGACCAGAAGAACCUUCUCAUUAACUGUUCGAUUCUAGAGCUGACCGCUGCGAGCAUGUGGAAAAUGGACAUUUGAUAGACCAGGGUAUUAACAAGAGCGCGUGCCUUUGAUUAGAGUUAACCUUCCUCCUGGAGAGAGAAAACGCCCUUUCCAACCGGCAAGUUUGCGAUCCACUUUGUCUACAAUAUGAGACCAAAGUCUUUGUUUAGGUUUGCCUAUGCAAAGAGGAAGCCCCAGGUACUUUGAUGGCAGGAUUUCGACGCCGCAGCCCCAACUAUUAGCAAAGUUCAAGAGAGUGGUUGAGUCUACAUUGACCCCCACCAUUUUGGGGUUGCGAAGCACCUUUGAAAUAGAAAGGGGUUGCGAAUUUCUUCGGGGUUAGCAUUGCAGAAGCACCUUAGAAACAGAAAGAAGUUGCAAAAAUCUUCAGGGUUGGCAUUGUAGAAUAUCAAGGCGUCAUCUGCGUAUUGUAGGUGGGAAAUUGUGGGGGCCUGAGGACCGACGGAAAAACCAUGCAGGUGUCCAGCGGAGUACAUCCUGGUCCAGCAGAGUACAUCUUGGAAAUGAACCUACUGAAUACCUUGGCUGCAAUUGCGAAGAGAAAGGGAGAAAGGGAUCGCCCUGUCUAAUGCCUCUUGUAGAAGGAAAAUAUCCUUUGGGCGUUCCAUUAAUGAGGAUGGAGAAGUGAGGCUGAGAGUAACACGCUCUCAUCCAAGUUCUCCACCUAAUACCAAAACCCAUCCUAGAUUGAGUUUCUUCAAGGAUGUCCCAGUGUACAUGGUCAUAAGCCUUUUCCCAGGUCGAGUUUGAUUACAAUACCAAGGACACCGGCUAAGUAUCUAGAGUGAAUACAUUCAUGGGACACGAGUAUUAGCGCAUCACUUGUUCUUAAGGCUAGCUCUUUGCGGGCUGCCAUUUGGGAACAUGUGGUUCACAAAAUGCAAUGGGCUGGGGCCAAUAUAACUCAACUCACAGCCUCCCACUCGUCUGUAAUUUUCCUCUUGAUCAGAUCUUUGUCCUGUGAGGUCAAUUCUUUUGGAUCACUAAGGCUACAAUGGGAAACAUGAUUGUACCACAUGCUGGUUCUUCAUUUCUUGAUUUAAAUGACCAUCAACAAAUUUCUUAUUCUUUGAAAAAGUUACUGGAAAGACUCUGAUUUAUAUUGGUGAAGUUCUUUAUGUGUCAGCUAGUUCACUCUUUCAAAUAUAAUGGGUAGAAAGUUUUUUUGUUAUCAUCUGCAACAUUCUAGGGGUUUCUGGGAAGUGAUAUACGCUCCACAAUGUCUUUCUUGAAUAGUUGCAUAAAUAAUUCUUUGUGAAGGCGCUACCAAAAGGGUGUUCGUCUUGACGCGAAACACAGUGGACUGAAGAAAGCAUAUUUUGGAUUGAAAAAUCUUAUAAUGAAGACAAAGUGUAAGGUUGAAGAUAAUUUAGCUAAGGGUAAGUUGCGAUUAGCAGUAGAGGACUUUAAAGGAGCACUUGCGCUGGACCCAAAUCAUACUGCAUACCAUGUCCAUCUUGCUUAUCAGAAAGCUUUGGGUCUGGCCAGUGAACAUUUUAGACCUUCUCUCUUGAGCAGUUGUGCAUUUUGAAUCUUAACACCUCCAACUUCGCACCCAUUUGUAUUGGCAAUGGAAUGGGGAGUAGCAGAGGCCGUUGCUUCUUGAGGAAUAGCCAAACUACCAUCGCUUGGGAAGAUUGAAUAUCUCUCAAGCAUAUUGGUCGUUUAUUUACAUGUAUUCAAAAUUUCUUGUAUAGCUUAACACUUCAGUAUAUUUAUUAACUGAUUUACAGAAUGCACUUACUAUAAAUUGGAUAUGAACUCUGUUUACAGGGUAUUAAAGCAUAUAUUAACUGAUUUACCUUAUAUUGAAAUAUUGAUUUAGGUGGUCAUCAUGCUGAUGGAAUGAAACCAUCUAUCUAAAUUAACUAAA
Molecule: non-coding RNA, 4344 nt
Organism: Amborella trichopoda
Lineage: Eukaryota; Viridiplantae; Streptophyta; Magnoliopsida; Amborellales; Amborellaceae
Source: RefSeq, a predicted model, not a curated record